GUCCCAGACUCCUACGGGAGGCAGCAGUGAGGAGUAUUGGUCAAUGGCCGGAAGGCUGAACCAGCCAAGUCGCGUGAGGGACGACUGCCCUAUGGGUUGUAAACCUCUUUUAUAAGGGAAGAAUAAAUGCUACGUGUAGCAUGAUGCCUGUACCUUAUGAAUAAGCAUCGGCUAACUCCGUGCCAGCAGCCGCGGUAAUACGGAGGAUGCGAGCGUUAUCCGGAUUUAUUGGGUUUAAAGGGUGCGUAGGCGGAAUGCCAAGUCAGCGGUAAAAUCGCGGGGCUCAACCUCGCUCCGCCGUUGAAACUGGCAGACUUGAGUUGGCGAGAAGUACGCGGAAUGCGCGGUGUAGCGGUGAAAUGCAUAGAUAUCGCGCAGAACUCCGAUUGCGAAGGCAGCGUACCGGCGCCAGACUGACGCUGAGGCACGAAAGCGUGGGGAUCGAACAGGAUUAGAUACCCCCGUA
RNAcentral lists this ribosomal RNA (466 nucleotides) under uncultured bacterium. RNAcentral describes it as "bacterial SSU rRNA". It matches the Rfam family "Bacterial small subunit ribosomal RNA", at positions 328 to 792 of the family's 1533-position model. The record is from RNAcentral.